Molecule: ribosomal RNA, 253 nt
Filed under: uncultured bacterium
Lineage: Bacteria
Description: partial 16S ribosomal RNA
Rfam family: Bacterial small subunit ribosomal RNA
Source: RNAcentral
GACAGAGGUGGCAAGCGUUGUUCGGAUUUAUUGGGUGUAAAGGGUCCGUAGGUGGUCGUGCAAGUCCGGCGUGAAAUCCCAUGGCUCAACCGUGGAACUGCGUUGGAAACUGCAUGACUUGAGUACCGCAGAGGUAAAGGGAAUUCUCGGUGUAAGGGUGAAAUCUGUAGAUAUCGAGAGGAACACCAGUGGCGAAGGCGCUUUACUGGGCGGUUACUGACACUGAGGGACGAAAGCAAGGGGAGCAAACAGG